Molecule: ribosomal RNA, 1250 nt
Filed under: metagenome
Description: bacterial LSU rRNA
Rfam family: Bacterial large subunit ribosomal RNA
Source: RNAcentral
GGUAAUAGCUCACUGAUCGAGUCGUCCUGCGCGGAAGAUGUAACGGGGCUAAGCCAGUAACCGAAGCUGCGGAUUCACACGCAAGUGUGAGUGGUAGGAGAGCGUUCUGUACGCCUGUGAAGGUGGCUUGUGAAGGCUGCUGGAGGUAUCAGAAGUGCGAAUGCUGACAUGAGUAGCGUUAAAGGGGGUGAAAAGCCCCCUCGCCGAAAGCGCAAGGUUUCCUACGCAACGUUCAUCGGCGUAGGGUGAGUCGGCCCCUAAGGCGAGGCAGAGAUGCGUAGCUGAUGGGAAACAGGUCAAUAUUCCUGUACCGAUGUGUAGUGCGAUGUGGGGACGGAGAAGGUUAGCUCAGCCGGGUGUUGGAUGUCCCGGUUCAAGCCUGUAGUCAUGCCUGGUAGGCAAAUCCGCCGGGCUUAGAUGAGGGGUGAUAACGAGGCGGCUUGCCGCCGAAGUGAGUGAUACCCUGCUUCCAGGAAAAGCCACUAAGCUUCAGCUACACACGACCGUACCGCAAACCGACACUGGUGCGCGAGAUGAGUAUUCUAAGGCGCUUGAGAGAACUCUGGAGAAGGAACUCGGCAAAUUGACACCGUAACUUCGGAAGAAGGUGUGCCUUUAGUAGGUGAUCCAUUUACUUGGUGAGCCCAAUGAGGCCGCAGAGAAUCGGUGGCUGCAACUGUUUAAUAAAAACACAGCACUCUGCAAAGACGAAAGUCGACGUAUAGGGUGUGACGCCUGCCCGGUGCUGGAAGAUUAAAUGAUGGGGUGCAAGCUCUUGAUUGAAGUCCCAGUAAACGGCGGCCGUAACGAUAACGGUCCUAAGGUAGCGAAAUUCCUUGUCGGGUAAGUUCCGACCUGCACGAAUGGCGUAAUGAUGGCCACACUGUCUCCUCCAGAGACUCAGCGAAGUUGAAAUGUUUGUGAUGAUGCAAUCUCCCCGCGGAAAGACGGAAAGACCCCAUGAACCUUUACUGUAGCUUUACAUUGGACUUUGAACAGAUCUGUGUAGGAUAGGUGGGAGGCUUUGAAGCGAUGCCGCUAGGUGUCGUGGAGCCAACGUUGAAAUACCACCCUGGUGUGUUUGAGGUUCUAACCUUGGCCCGUUAUCCGGGUUGGGGACAGUGUAUGGUAGGCAGUUUGACUGGGGCGGUCUCCUCCCAAAGUGUAACGGAGGAGUUCGAAGGUACGCUAAAUACGGUCGGAAAUCGUGUUGAUAGUGCAUUGGCAUAAGCGUGCUUGACUGCGAGACC